AUAAAAUAAUACUGAGUAUUUGUAGUUAGGAAAUUUUAUUACAUAAAAACCUCUGAAAACCGCUGAAAAGAUUUUUCUAGACACAUAGUGUUACUAUACUAACCCUACGUGUAGAUACUAUAAUUUCACUGUAGAGAACACGUGGUAGAGAACGUCAUACGCUAAGACGUAAAAAAAGAAAUAAAAAAAACACUAUUUUUCACAAACGUUUGCAUUUAAACCAUUAUAACUUUAUUGUUCUUCAUACUUUUAAUUUAUAUUUUUUAGUUUUUAACGCCACUGUUUAAAUAAGCUUUGUCUAGCUUUCUUUCUUUUCUUUUUGCAUGGUGCGACAGCAAUUUCGACACGUCUACUGAAAAAAGACGACAAAAUAAGAAGGGCUAUUGUUCGCGCCAGAUUUGCAUCACUUGUGCCGCGUUGCACCGUCCGACACUUAUUAAAUACGCACUCGGUUCGCUGUAAGAGCAUGGCAGCUGGUCGUUCCUCAUCAGAAAUUUCAGGGGUUAACGAAGAGCAGAGGAAGAUGUUGACAAUGAGCAUGACGAGCAGCAGUACGGCCAGGCAGAUGCAGAGGCCGAUGAGCCACGGGAAACGCCACUCCGUGCACUCACGCAGGGGUGCUGACACUGCAGAAAGUGUGAGAAGGAAAGGUGU
Long non-coding RNA from Dermacentor andersoni, 654 nucleotides. RefSeq lists it as uncharacterized. The record is from RefSeq and is a predicted model, not a curated record. Lineage: Eukaryota; Metazoa; Arthropoda; Arachnida; Ixodida; Ixodidae.